GCGGCAGGCUACACAUGCAGUCGAGCGGUAGCACAGAGAGCUUGCUCUCGGGUGACGAGCGGCGGACGGGUGAGUAAUGUCUGGGAAACUGCCUGAUGGAGGGGGAUAACUACUGGAAACGGUAGCUAAUACCGCAUAACGUCGCAAGACCAAAGUGGGGGACCUUCGGGCCUCAUGCCAUCAGAUGUGCCCAGAUGGGAUUAGCUAGUAGGUGGGGUAAUGGCUCACCUAGGCGACGAUCCCUAGCUGGUCUGAGAGGAUGACCAGCCACACUGGAACUGAGACACGGUCCAGACUCCUACGGGAGGCAGCAGUGGGGAAUAUUGCACAAUGGGCGCAAGCCUGAUGCAGCCAUGCCGCGUGUAUGAAGAAGGCCUUCGGGUUGUAAAGUACUUUCAGCGAGGAGGAAGGCGUUAAGGUUAAUAACCUUAGCGAUUGACGUUACUCGCAGAAGAAGCACCGGCUAACUCCGUGCCAGCAGCCGCGGUAAUACGGAGGGUGCAAGCGUUAAUCGGAAUUACUGGGCGUAAAGCGCACGCAGGCGGUCUGUCAAGUCGGAUGUGAAAUCCCCGGGCUCAACCUGGGAACUGCAUUCGAAACUGGCAGGCUAGAGUCUUGUAGAGGGGGGUAGAAUUCCAGGUGUAGCGGUGAAAUGCGUAGAGAUCUGGAGGAAUACCGGUGGCGAAGGCGGCCCCCUGGACAAAGACUGACGCUCAGGUGCGAAAGCGUGGGGGAGCAAACAGGAUUAGAUACCCUGGUAGUCCACGCCGUAAACGAUGUCGACUUGGAGGUUGUGCCCUUGAGGCGUGGCUUCCGGAGCUAACGCGUUAAGUCGACCGCCUGGGGAGUACGGCCGCAAGGUUAAAACUCAAAUGAAUUGACGGGGGCCCGCACAAGCGGUGGAGCAUGUGGUUUAAUUCGAUGCAACGCGAAGAACCUUACCUACUCCUUGACAUCCAGAGAACUUAGCAGAGAUGCUUUGGUGCCUUCGGGAACUCUGAGACAGGUGCUGCAUGGCUGUCGUCAGCUCGUGUUGGUGAAAUGUUGGGUUAAGUUCCCGCAACGAGCGCAACCCUUAUCCUUUGUUGCCAGCGGUCCGGCCGGGAACUCAAAGGAGACUGCCAGUGAUAAACUGGAGGAAGGUGGGGAUGACGUCAAGUCAUCAUGGCCCUUACGAGUAGGGCUACACACGUGCUACAAUGGCAUAUACAAAGAGAAGCGACCUCGCGAGAGCAAGCGGACCUCAUAAAGUAUGUCGUAGUCCGGAUUGGAGUCUGCAACUCGACUCCAUGAAGUCGGAAUCGCUAGUAAUCGUAGAUCAGAAUGCUACGGUGAAUACGUUCCCGGGCCUUGUACACACCGCCCGUCACACCAUGGGAGUGGGUUGCAAAAGAAGUAGGUAGCUUAACCUUCGGGAGGGCGCUACCACUUGAU
This 1434-nucleotide ribosomal RNA is filed under the name Klebsiella aerogenes. RNAcentral's name for it is "bacterial SSU rRNA". It matches the Rfam family "Bacterial small subunit ribosomal RNA". The record is from RNAcentral. Lineage: Bacteria; Pseudomonadati; Pseudomonadota; Gammaproteobacteria; Enterobacterales; Enterobacteriaceae.